This 27790-nucleotide long non-coding RNA is filed under the name Panax ginseng (ginseng). Its description in RNAcentral is "long non-coding RNA (PGIN_LNC018546)". The record is from RNAcentral. Lineage: Eukaryota; Viridiplantae; Streptophyta; Magnoliopsida; Apiales; Araliaceae.
AGAUCCUGCACCUCAUCUCGUAACUCCACGUUACGGUCGUAUAACGUGUCAUACAUCUCAGCAUCAACGGUGUACCGUGGUAACUCCUCUUCUUCCUCUUCCACUUCCUCAACAAAUUCCUCCUCAGGAUCAGUCUUAGUUCAUGCUCCUGACCAACAACGGUGAUCAAUGGAGAUGAUUCCCUCUGCACCAGCUGCUCCCUAACGACAUGAAUGUCUCGGGGCUCCUCCUCUGUCGGUACUAUAGGUACACGGGGUUCUUCCUCCCCAGCUUGACUAGCUUCUCCAACAUUCGACAUCCUGACAACAAAAUUUUAAGUUUUAGUUACUAAGUCGUAUCAUCUAACGCAUACUUUAACAUAUAAACACAUAAGGUCUUUUAUUAUCUUCAAUGAAUUACAUAAAUUCAUUUCUUAUAACUCGAUAAGAGUUUUCCAUCACUAUCUUCUUUCUAUAAGGCUACUACCUAAGGUUGUUCCCCCACCUAAGGUUCAUAACCUACAGCUUUGAUACCAACUUGUGACACCUCCAAAUCCGGGUACUUCAAUUCCACGGGAUUUGGUGUUCACUGUACAAAUAUCAUCUAUCUAUCUACCCAUAAUAAAAGCAAAUCAUGCAAUAGAUAGAAAUAAAAUCUUCCCUUUAAAGGGUUAUAACAUCUGAAUCAUAAACAUCCCAGGUUAAACUAACUUUAAACAUCUGUGCGGAAAUAUAAAUAAUAAGUCUUAAAUAACAUCAUUAACUCAAGUCUAAUAUAAAUACAUCAUCAAACAAAAUAACAAGUCUUCACCAAUUGCUAACUUUGCCCUUACCUUUACUAGUGGAAGGUUCAUCGGUUCUUUCGUUCUUAACUGCAAUGUUAUUAUUAAGAAAGAGUGAGCACUAUUGCCCACAAGUAUAACAAUGAAAUAACAUUAUAAUAACAUGCGAGUAAAUCAAAGACAUCUGAAUAAAAGCUCAACUUUUGAAUCAAGAAUGAAUAACAAGAAUCAAAAGAAUUCUGAGGGUCAUAAAACCUUGAACUAUGUCCUAGGUUAUCAAGGGUUAUACUUGAAACCUUUAAUAGUCAUAAGAGUAUGGACCUUCUACUCGUACUUAGGGGGAUCAGCCCUUAGUACUAUACUGUGCACAAUAUAUUAACGCUAACGCAUAAGUAAAUCCCUUUGCAGGGUUGUUCAUCUCAGUUUGACAUUCGAGUCCGCACCAAAGGAAGUUUGGUUUGGAUAAUUCAUCAAGGGUUCUAAAAUUUAGAACGCUCAUCAACUAUGGACUAGUCGAAUCAAUAAGGGUUCGCUAGUCUAAUAAGGUUCAAUAAUAAUGAUAUUCAAAUUGAAUAAUAAUCUCAAGAAGUAUACAAUAGGACAAUUAUUGUAUAACUGAAUCAUGCUUUGAAAAGAUAAUCAAUCUUUAAUAUAACCUUUGAACUUGAAUAAUAGCAAUGAUAAUUUAAUCGAGGUAAAUAAUAAACUAGAACAAUAAUGACAAGUAGGGUUAGGAAACUUGCCUCGUGCGUAGAUUACACUUUAACUAAGCACGUUCUUUGAAUUAAAUCCUACAUAUAAUUCAUAUUCACAAUACCAGUUAAUUAUAACUUAACUAAUCAUCAUAAACUCAUUCUCUUUGUCUACUUUGAUUAUUUAACUAUAUUUAGUUAAUUUACCACUUUGUCACAUAAUUUAUACUUCAUGAAUAACAAGCUUAUUAUGUAUUCAAUAAUUUUAUCCACGUGUAAUUAUGUUAUUAACAUGUUAAACAACUCUUUUAUCAUCAUAUUAUACUUCUAACAUGUUUACAUGUUCAUUAAAUUAAUUUACUAACACAUUGUUAGACUUAAACAUUUUAAAAAGUACAUUUCUGAACUUUCUGGAGAGUGGCGCUGCGGCGCCACUUUUAUACUUGAUCUUCGCGCUGCGGCCGGACUCUUGGCGCUGCAGCGCCGUGGCACUUCUGCUCAAGACUUGGCGCUGUGGCGCGGGACUUCAGUUCUGGAGUUGGCGCCGCGGCGCGAAACUCCAGACUUUGAUUCCCAAUUCGCGAAGAACACAGUGUUCAGCGAAAAGGAUACUAAAUCAUCAUUAAUUUCACUAAAUUAACAUACCCACAUGCUACGAUUUAUACAUAAUCAUUACCCAACAAUAAUAGAACGAUUUUAAUCCAUUAAAACACAUAAUUACAGAAUUAAAAUCUAUAAUUUCACUGACUUUGAUGUUCUUGAAGGUUUUGAAAAUAAAACAUAAAAAUUGAUACUACGGAUUCGUUAUAACACCGAAUCCGUUCGUUUAAAGUUUGGUCUCUUCGUAUCAACAUGUAUAAUAAUAUACGAGUGUAAAAUUUAGGGAUAAUAUACGAUCAAUACAUAAAAUAUCACGUAUAAGGCCAUAAGGCAAAAACCCAUACUCUGUAAUUUUGUAGAAAUCAUAUACGAUGUAAUAUUAUGAAACUGAUGAUAGGGAACCAUCUAAUACAUAGAGAAACACAUUAAAACAACAUCUUAACACAUAUAUGUACAUAACUCAUACUCCUUUCGAUUUACAGAGACUUUACAGUAAACUUUGAAAACCAUGUUUAUGAAAACUCAAACAACGUAAAAACAUAAUUUGGUUUGGAGAAUUUACCCAGAGUAUAGAUUUAGAAGAGAUGAUAAGUGGUGAUCCUUUCACAAGUAUUUGUUACACACUCACAAUUUUCUUCACAAAAUCACAAUUUUCUCUCUGUGAACUCUAACUUUUGUUUUCCCGAUUAUCUAGACUUAGAAAUAAGAAUACGUAUAUAAUAUUAGAACUGACGCGUUGAGUGGUCAGUUAACCCAAUAAUGGGUAACUGCUCCAACUCCCCAUAGGGCCUUGUUUGGCUAGCAAAAUAGAUUUAAAAACCAAUUAAUUUAAUAAACUUUAUCAUAUAGUUUAAUUAACGUCACACUCCUUCAUAAAAUAAAUCAAUAUCUUAUUUAAUUUAUUUUAAAUAAAAUAUAAUAAUUUCUCAUAAAUUAACAUAGUCACAUAAUUAAUUUUUUCAUUAAUAAAUAAUGUCAAAUUAUUAACUCUCUAAUUAAUAAUUAAAUUAAUUAAAUAACAUCAUGCUUAAUUAAAUAUUUCAUUUAAUUCAAUAACAUCAUGCUUAAUUAAUCUACCAUAAUUGCAUCAACUAAUUAUUAAAUCUAAUAAUUAAAUCAUCAAAAAAUAUUUAUUUAAUUCAAUAAAUAUUAAAAUUAAUUUACAAAAAUCUCGUUUGUCACAUAAGCAAUGAAGCACAUGAGACCGUUGAGUCACUAACGAUCAAUACCCAGGAUAAUGUGCAAUAGGAAGACAAUAGUCCUCAGGUAAAUAAUAACACCGAUCAAAUGAUGAACGAUGGGGUGUUCAGAGGCUUUAUGCAAUUCAUGCAACAUCAGGCGAGAGCGGCUCCUAUUCAAAAUGCAGGUGGAAUCAUUAGCAACUCUCGGUUGGUCACCGCUAAACAGUUCAAGGAGCUGGGACCACCGUAGUUUAUUGGAGAGCCAAAACCACUUAAGGCAGAGACGUGGAUAAAGCAGAUCACCAAGAUAUUUGACGUCUUGGGAUGCUCCGAGGAGCAAAAGGUUCCCUUUGCCACCUUCAUGUUGCGAGGAGAGGCAGAUUACUGGUGGGAAUCUAUAAAGCGUACUCAACCUUCCACACUGAAGAUGUCUUGGGAGAAAUUCCAAGAACUGUUCAACGACAAGUACUUUCCCGAAAGUAUUCGUCACAUGAAGGAGGUAGAGUUUAUCAAGUUGGAGCAAAACAAUAUGACCAUGUCACAGUACGAAGCUAAGUUUGCCGAUUUUUUCGGGUUUGCGUCCCACAUGGUUGAUAAUGAGGAGAGAAUGAUGCGGAUGUUUCUAAGAGGUUUGAAACCUGAGAUACAUCAAUACUUAAUUUCUCACAAACUGUGUUUGUAUUCAGAUGUUGUAAAUAGGGCUCAGUUAUUGGAGCGCGAUAAUGAGUUAACCCAACCAAGAGAGAGCAGCCGGCAAAUUGAUAAUUCUAGUGGUAGUAGUCAUCGAAGUGGUGACAACAAACGUGGAGGGAAUCAACAUACCAGAAAUUGUAACCACUUCGGUGGUAAUCAUGGCCAAGAUAAUAGAAGUGGAAAUUUCAAGAAGAGGAAAUUCAAUAAUGAUGGAAAGACGUCAGCACCAACACCUAUUGUUAAGGAAGGAGAACAACUGUCGGUCGUAAGUUAAAAAUGCGGAGGGGAGGGACACAUCAGUCCAAAUUGUACGCAGCAGUCCAAGGCAUGUUACAAUUAUAGAAGAGAAGGUCACCUAGCCCGAUUUUGUUGUGCACCAAAGUCAAGUCCCGCUGGGAUGGAGGCAUCAAAGGCCGUCCCAGACAAGACAAAACCGGUAGUUCAAGGGAGAGCGUUUGUCGUAACCUCCCAAAAAGUGAGGAAUCUGAACGAGGUGAUAACGAGUAAGUUAAUCAUCAACUCUAGCGAAGUAUAUACCUUAUUUGAUACCAAUUCUACCUAUUCUUUUAUUUAUCCUACUUGCGCUCAACGUUUAAAUUGAACUCCGGAGAAAUUAGACUUUGAUUUAUCUGUUGAAACUCCGUUGGGAGAAACCUUCAUUACAUCCACUGUUUAUAAGUCCUGUUUGGUUCAAAUCGGUACUCGUACAUUACCCAUCGAUCUUAUUUCCUUUAAAAUACUUGCAUUUGAUGUGAUUUUAGGGAUUGAUUGGUUAACUACUCAUCAUGCUAAAAUUGAUUAUUUUCGUAAGGUUGUUAGCUUUCAUAUUCCUAACCAACCUAUUAUGAGAAUUCAAGCAACCAAACCACUAAAGUCAAUCAAUGUCAUAUCAAGCCAUAAAGAUAUUCAUUUAUUGAAAAAUAGAUGUCAAGCUUUCUUAGCCCAGGUCAUGGAUUUAAACAAAAAUACGUCAGAUUUGAAUGAUAUUUCUAUUGUUAAUAAAUUUCCUGACGUAUUCCCUCAAGAACUUCUUGGCCUACCCCCAGAGCGUAAAAUCGAAUUUUGUGUCGAUCUUGAACCCGGUACAAAACCCAUUUCCAAAACCCCAUAUCGAAUGGCUCCUAUUGAACUUCAGGAGUUAAAAACCCAACUACAGGAAUUAUUAGACAUCGGUUUCAUUCGUGCUAGUUGAUAAGUGGAUUUUUUAUACACUUAUCCGGUAUCUUUUACUUGAAUUAGUUGCUUAUAUUCAUGUGUCUUAGUUACUUUUCAUGCAUUUUGUGUUCAUUUUGUAGGUUAUACGUUUGGGAGCGGUGUGAGCGAUUAUUGGUAAGGAAAAGCAAAGAAAAUGUAAAGAAAUGGCCAUCCGGACAUCAUUUGGGCUUUCAUGUUACUUCAUGUUCUAGUCUUGGAACUUGAACUACAUUGUAGAGCAUCUUCGUAGCUUUCUGGAACAUCUUGAAUUACUCUAAUCGGAGUUCGGAUGCAAGAGUUAUGAUUGUUGUACCAACGGACGUCAAACAUCGCUGUUUUGGUUAGCCAUUUGCAUAGCAGUCCCUUCCAGCUCGAUUUCAACCUUCAUCCGGCCCGAAUUUCUCAAUUAUCAAAGAAUAGAAGUUGUAGAGCUCGUUGAUAUCUUCGAUUUGAUAGGUGGCAGGCCCCGUAACUCUUCCCGGAUCAAACGUUAUGGCUAUUUUACCAGAGCAGACUGCAGCAGAAAAUCACCCGCGCGCGGGCCGCGAAUCCCACGCGGCCGCGCGACGUACAGUAGCAAAAAGACGCGAUUUUCAGUUUUCGAGCGGGCGCGCAACUUCGGGUGCUGACCAAAGUUGACUUUUCAUUAAACAGUGCAAUUGAAGCGUAAUUGAGAGGGGGGGGGGGGUUCAAUCAGGGCUUAUAUAUUAGAUAUAUUUUCAUUAUGUAGGAUAUAUUCCACCCCUUGGGGGCUGAAGCUAUUGUCUUCUUCUCUCUUUAAUUUCAAUAAUAGAAUAAAGUAGAUUAGUGUAGGUAUUUUCUAGCGUUGAUUGGAUUGGAGACUUGAAGCAAUUGGAAAUCAUUAGAGAUUCAACCUUGGCUCAAGAGAACAGAUUUGGACUACAAUUCUCUAUCCUUAUUCUCUCUUUAAUUGCUUCUUAUAUCUCAUGAUGUGUCUUCAAUAUGUAGAUAAUAGCAUUAAUUCAAUUAUGACUUAACUUCUAUUCUGAGAUUGCAAUGGAUUCUAUGAGUUAGUUAUUUCUGAUAUGUUUCAUUGUUAGCCUUAUUGAUUUCUAUGUAUUUGUCUAUUAAGAUUCAUGCUUAAUUGCUUAGUUGAUUGGCCAUCAAUUACUGUGAUAACCCAUAUGAACUUGAAAGACGAAGUAUGGGUUUAGAUAUGAUCUUGAUAGCUUGUGAUUGUAUAUUCUACGUUGUGAUGGGAUGUAUGAUUUGUGCUUAGGAUAGACAUAUACCGAAGCACCACUCGUAGUUAAUUGAAAACUUGGAAUUAAACCCUAAUUAUUUGUAAAUCACAUAGACAUAUAGUGAUUUAUGUAAUGUGGGUGUUCAUGUGUAUUCUAUCAAUUGUGGAUUAUAUGUGAUAUGGGUAUGGUGCAUUGAAAGAUGGGUAUACUUUACUUUAGUGUUCUCGACUGACAAACCGGUACAAUUAGUUUGGCUUAACAUGAAAUGUAUGGAUUUGAAUGAGUCAAUAGAUGAAAUUGUAAUCUCAGGUCUUCAUUAUCUAGUUUCACUCUAGGGAUAGUUAGGUUUAUUUAAUUUUUAUAGUUUAAAUAUAAAAUAUAUUAUCCUUCGUUUAAAUAAGACUGAAAUGGUUAUGGGUUAAUGCUUGGUAAACUUUAUUAGUUAAUUCCAUGUGGAUCGAUACUCGACUUAAUCUGUAUUACUUGUUGACGCAUGUAUACUUGCAUGAGUUAGAGCUCUUUUAUCAGAACUGAAAAAGAGGCAACAAGUUUUUGGCGCCAUUGCAGGGGAAUUAUUUUAAUAAUUUUUGCCAACAUUAAUUUCAAUCAAAGUAGUCUUAAUUUAAAUAUUUUAUUUUAUUUUAUUUUAUUUUAUUUUAAUUCUCUUCCUAUAUUUCUCUCUUUUCAGGUACCAUGGGUGACUUUUCUUAUCAAGGGUCUUAUGCAAAUAGGAUUCAACCAAGGGACACAAGAACUGAAGGACUCAAUGUCAGAGUUGGACAAGUACAGUUUGGGGGUGAUUACCUCAACAACUAUGUUUAUCCCAAUUAUCCUCAAGGUUGGGGGUAUCACCCAGAUUUUGAAUGGAGUUAUAACUAUCGAGACUAAUACUGUGCCGCAAGUCCAACACAUCCAUCGAAUUUCUCAUAUCCACCUCCAAUGCAACAAGAAGAAAAUUCAAGGAUGAAGAAAGUCAUGUCAAACAACAUAGCAGACCAUGAAGAGAUGAUGAUGAGUCAGGAGUUAUCAAGCCAAAAUCUUGACAAACAGAUGGAACAACUCAUUAACUCCUCAAUGAAUGGUCCUCAAUACAUGGAUUUCGAAACUGAGAAAGAUGACUCAAGAUUGGAGGAUUUGUGGUUCAAAUUUGUAGCAUCAACUGAGAAGAAGAUGAUUGAGCAAGAGAGGUCAAUUCAAAAUCUUCAGAAUUAGAUGGAUCUAAUGUUCGAAGCCUUGAACAAUCGCCCUCCAAACAAUUGGUGCUAUGACAUGGACGAUGAAACUGAUGGAGAGCCAGAAGUGUGCAUGCCACGGAAUGAACUGAAAGGAGUGGACAUAUAGGAGACAACUGGGGGUAUGGAAAAUGAAGAACAUGAGCUGACUUGUAUAAUAUCCCAAGUGCCAUUCUCAGUUAGAGUUGAAAAAUUCAGUGAAAUUUGCACACCAUGUCCCCUUGGUAGUCAUAUCUAAAGCAAGAAUUUUUGCGAUUAUGAGGCCUCUUACAAACCAUGGGGGGCUGAGGAAGAGAUAAUAGAAGAAGAAAAUCAUGUUAUAUCUGUCAGGCCUCAAUGCAAAAAUUUAUUCACAGAUACAACGGGAGAAGCACCUGGCAUUGCAGUGGAACUAGGGACAUCAUGUAUAGGAAAUAUGCUAGGUGACUUCAAUCCAAAGACUCUCAUGAUGGGGAACCUACCAAAGCACAUAGUGGUUCUAAUGGAUGGAGGGUUCUUAUCUUAUCGUAGAGGAAUCGGAUAGUGGUGUCAAGAAAAGAGUCCAGCUAACGGACUAUAAACCGAGCGCUAGAUGGGAGGCACCCCAUCCAAUCUAUCUCCCUCCUUGUUUAAUUCUAAUUUACAUUUCCAUAUUUAGUAGAUGUUAGAUAAUGGUAAGUAUUAAUAAUGGUUUGAUUAUUUCUCCUCUCAGGUUCAAUCCAAUUACUGCAAGCAUUCAGGAUCAAACAAAAGUCAAAAACUGAAACUGCCAGAGUACAGGGUCGCGCGGCCGCGCCCAACUACAAGCCUAACACCGCGCGAUAGCUUAGUCAUAGAAAAAAAAUUGCUGAAUUUUUAGAAUUUCUGACUAAAGCGUUCGGACAGUUAGAAGCCCACACUCAGUUUCCAACCUUAGAAUAUCUCAAACUUAUCCAUCGCCUGAUAUACCAUCGGAUCAUGAGGAGGCGAACGGAGAUGACAUUGCCACUUAGGGGAGUAUUCUUUCAUUUUUAAUUAUAAUGAGGGCAUUAUUUAUUUUAAGUUUGGGGGUAUUGAGUUGUAGUGAGUAGUUGUUGCGUAUAGUUAGUUGCAUAUAGUUUGAUUGCAUGUUUAAGUUGCAUAGUAGGGGUAUUUUAGUAUCUUGUAGUUAAAUUCUACAUGAAUUUUUUUUUCUUAGUUUUCUUUUGUUUUGUUUACUUAGUAUGUGUCUAGUUGCAUAACAUUGCAUAAUCCCAAGUUUUUAGUUAGUUGACUUCUAAUUUGGCCUAUGAUGAAAUAGAAGUUUGAUAGAUUUUUGAACUUGGUUGAUAUCUUGAGCUUAGUUAUAAUUUUAUACAUGAUAUAAUUCAUGCUUGCUGUUUAGAUGUUACCAGGUAGCACGACAAUGUUCCUAUUUGCUUGUUAGUUAAGAUUAACAUGCUUGUGUGCUGAGUAGAAAAUAUUUUUUUUUAAAGAUGGAAUUGUGUAUAAAGUAGACAUAGACUAUGAAAACACAGAUACUCAAAUUUUGAGAACACAUGGGUAUGCUUUCUAUUGGGACGAGAUGGAGCGUAAAACGCACUCGUGUAAAUAGAAAUGGAAAGCGAGAUGGAGCGUAAAACGCACUCGUUUAAAUGGAAAUGGAAGGUGAGAUGGAGCGUAAAACGCACUCGCUAUAUAUAUCUAAAAAAAAAAAUCAAUAAACACCACGGGAAAGUGCGAAAAUCGCCCUUGCGAGUAAAAAUAAAGCAGAAUAAACCCAUUGUUGAACCUUAGUUUGUAUUGAUGUGUUGGAGUAGUUGAUGUCUCAUUAGUAUAUGCAGUUCUUGAUUUAAACUUCAAUUUUCUGCCUUACGCAGUAUAGCAUGUGAAAUCCUCACCUUUUUCAAGCUUAUAUGUGAACACAUCACACACACACAACAUCUUUAUAGCAGGUUAGGAUUAUAUAAUUGUAUGUCAUUAUGCCUUUAGCUUAGUUUGAUGCUUUGUUCUUGGUUCUUGAUAUUUCUAUGAGGCAUUUCUCACUGGAAUUCAUAACAUGAUUGAAAAUCUGGGGAAUCAUUGUCAUAGUAGCGUAGCUUGCAUAGCAUGUAGAUUGCAUUAUAUUGUGUUGCUUGCGGACAAGCAACAGUUUAAGUUUGGGGGUAUUUGAUAAGUGGAUUUUUUAUACACUUAUCCGGUAUCUUUUACUUGAAUUAGUUGCUUAUAUUCAUGUGUCUUAGUUACUUUUCAUGCAUUUUGUGUUCAUUUUGUAGGUUAUACGUUUGGGAGCGGUGUGAGCGAUUAUUGGUAAGGAAAAGCAAAGAAAAUGCAAAGAAAUGACAAUUCGGACAUCAUUUGGGCUUUCAUGUUACUUCAUAUUCUGGGCUUGGAACUUGGACUACAUUGUAGAGCAUCUUCGUAGCUUUUCAGAACAUCUUAAAUCGCUCUAAUCGGAGUUCGGAUGCAAGAGUUAUGAUCGUUGUACCAACGGACGUCAAACUUCGCUGUUUUGGUUAGCCAUUUGCAUAGUAGUCCCUUCCAGCUCGAUUUCAACCUUCAUCCGGCCAGAAUUUCUCAAUCAUCAAAGAAUGAAAGUUGUAGAGCUCGUCGAUAUCUUCGAUUUGAUAGGUGGCAGGCCCCGUAAAUCUUCUCGGAUCAAAUGUUAUGGCUAUUUUACCAGAGCAGACUGUAGCAGAAAAUCACCUGCGCGCCGGCGCGCGAAUCCCGCGCGGCCGCGCGACUUACAUUAGCAAAAAGACGCGAUUUUCAGCUUUCGCGCGGGCGCGUCCAACUCCGGCCAAUUCCCGCGCGGCCGCGCGACUUCGGGUGCUGACCAAAGUUGACUUUUCAUUAAAUAGUGCAAUUGAAGCGUAAUUGAGAGGGGGGGGGGUNNNNNNNNNNNNNNNNNNNNNNNNNNNNNNNNNNNNNNNNNNNNNNNNNNNNNNNNNNNNNNNNNNNNNNNNNNNNNNNNNNNNNNNNNNNNNNNNNNNNAAUAGAGUAGAUUAGUGUAGGUAUUUUCUAGAGUUGAUUGGAUUGGAGACUUGAAGCAAUUGGAAAUCGUUAGAGAUUCAACCUUGGCUUAAGAGAACAGAUUUGCACUACAAUUCUCUAUCCUUAUUCUCUCUUUAAUUGUUUCUUGUAUCUCAUGAUGUGUCUUCAAUAUGUGGAUAAUAGCAUUAAUUCAAUUAUGACUUAACUUAUAUUCUGAGAUUGGAAUGGAUUCUAUGGAUUAGUUAUUUCUGAUAUGUUUCAUUGUUAGCCUUAUUGAUUUCUAUGGAUUUGUCUAUUAAGAUUCAUGCUUAAUUGCUUAGUUGAUUGGCCAUCAAUUACUGUGAUAAUCCAUAUGAACUUGAAAGAUGAAGUAUGGGUUUAGAUAUGAUCUUGAUAGCUUGUGAUUGUAUAUUCUACGUUGUGAUGGGAUGUAUGAUUUGUGCUUAGGAUAGACAUAUACCGAAGCACCACUCGUAGUUAAUUGAAAACUUGGAAUUAAACCCUAAUUAUUUGUAAAUCACAUAGACAUAUAGUGAUUUAUGUAAUGUGGGUGUUCAUGUGUAUUCUAUCAAUUGUGGAUUAUAUGUGAUAUGGGUAUGGUGCAUUGAAAGAUGGCUAUACUUUACGUUAGUGUUCUCGACUAACAAACCGGUACAAUUAGUUUGGCUUAACAUGAAAUGUAUGGAUUUGAAUGAGUCAAUAGAUGAAAUUGUAAUCUCAGGUCUUCAUUAUCUAGUUUCACUCUAGGAAUAGUUAGGUUUAUUUAAUUUUCAUAGUUUAAAUAUAAAAUAUAUUAUCCUUCAUUUAAAUAAGACUGAAAUGGUUAUGGGUUAAUGCUUGGUAAACUUUAUUAGUUAAUUCCCUGUGGAUCGAUACUCGACUUACUCUGUAUUACUUGUUGACGCAUGUAUACUUGCAUGAGUUAGAGCUCUUUUAUCAGAACUGAAAAAGAGGCAACACUAGUACAUCUCCUUGGGGUGCUCCUGUUAUAUUCGUGAAGAAGAAAGAUGGAAGUAUGCGACUUUGUAUUGAUUAUCGGGAGUUUAAUCAUGUCACCAUAAAAAAUAGGUACCCGUUACCUCGUAUUGAUGAUCUAUUUGACAAAUUGCAAGGCGCAAAAUUCUUUUCAAAGAUCGAUCUUCGUUUCGAAUAUCAUCAAUUAAAGAUUAAAACUGAUGACAUUCCGAAGACUGCUUUAAGAACUCGGUACGGGCAUUUCGAAUUCCUAGUCAUGUCUUUUGGAUUGACUAAUGCUCCUGCUGCCUUCAUGGAUAUGAUGAAUCGAGUAUUCAAGGAAUAUUUGUAUCACUUUGUGGUCGUCUUUAUUGAUGACAUCCUCAUUUACUCCAAAAGUCGUGAAGAUCAUGAGAAACACUUGAGACUGAUACUUCAAAAGCUUCAUGAAAAUAAGUUAUAUGCCAAGUUGACGAAAUACGAGUUCUGGAUUGAGGAAGUUGCAUUCCUUGGGCACGUGAUAUCAAAUCAUGGAAUAUCUGUUGACCCGACAAAGAUUGAAACAAUUCAAAGCUGGGAGCAACCUAAGUCAGUGACCAAAGUACAUAGCUUUUUUGGUUUAACUGCUUAUUAUCGGAGGUUCGUGGAAGGAUUUUCUCGAAUCGCUACUCCAUUAACUCAGUUGACUCAAAAAGAUACAAAAUUCGGUUGGAGCGAGAAUUGUGAGAAGAGUUUUCAAGAACUCAAGAGGAGGCUCAUUUUAGCACUUGUUUUGACAAUACCAGCUGGUUCGGAGGGAUUUGUCAUAUACAGCGAUGCUUCAGGCAAAGGUUUAGGGUGUGUUCUCAUGCAACAUGGGAAAGUCAUAGCCUAUGCCUCACUACAACUCAAAGAAUAUGAGAGGAAUUAUCCUACUCGUGAUCUAGAGUUGGUAGCUGUCAUUUUUGCGCUUAAGAUUUGGAGGCAUUACCUGUAUAGAGAGAAGGUGGAGAUCUAUACAGAUCAUAAAAGCCUCAAAUAUUUCUUUACUCAAAAGGAACUCAACAUGCAGCAACAACGAUGGCUUGAGCUAUUGAAAGAUUACGAUCAUACCAUUCAAUACCAUCCUGGAAUAGCGAACCUAGUAGCUAACGCAUUAAGUAGAAGAUCAUAUGCGGGUACGAGUGUGAUAUUGUCAACGCAAAGGCCCAUUUUGUAUGACUUACAAAGGACGGAGAUAGAGUUAAAGCCUCCAGGGACCCAUGUGAUGAUGACAAAUAUACGAGUAGAAUCGACUUUAAUCGAUAAAGUUAAAGAUGCUCAAGCUACAGACCUAGAGCUGAUGCGUAUGAGGAAGAAAGUGCAAGAAGGUGCUAUUCCGGAAGCAAGAAUCGAUGAAGAAGGAAUACUUUGAGUCAACUCCAGACUUUGUGUUCCUAACGAUUCUGACUUGAAGUAUAAAAUUAUGAUGGAGGCGCACAACACAUCGUUUGCAAUCCAUCCUGGGAGUACCAAAAUGUAUCGUGAUCUUCGAUAUACAUUUUGGUGGAGCAAUAUGAAGAGAGAGAUAGCGGGGUUUAUCUCAAGGUGUCUAACUUGUCAACGAGUCAUGGCAGAGCAUCAAGUGCCAAAAGGUCCAUUGCAACCACUUAAAAUUCCAGAAUGGAAGUGGGAGCACAUUACCAAGAAUUUCGUUAUUGGUCUUCCCAAGGUUUCUCAAGGCAUAAAUUCGAUUUAGGUCAUUGUUGAUAGAUUAACCAAGUCUGCUCAUUUCUUACCAAUACGAGAAUCUUAUACACUUGAACGUCUUGCUCGUAUGUAUAUAAAUGAGAUUGUAAGAUUGCAUGGUAUGCCAGUAUCCAUAGUUUCUGAUCGAGACUCAAGAUUCACUUCACGAUUUUGGGUUAGUUUGCAAAAAGAUAUGGGCACGGAUUUACGAUUUAGUUCAGCAUAUCAUCCUCAAACGGACGGGCAGUCGGAGAGGACUAUUCAAACUCUUGAAGAUUUAUUAAGACUCUGUGUCCUUGACUUCAAAGGAAGUUGGGACAAGUUUUUACCAUUGGUGGAGUUUUCCUACAACAACAGUUAUCAAGCAAGUAUUGGCAUGACUCCAUUUAAGGCGUUGAAUGGAAUAAAGUGUCGUUAUCCAGUAUGCUGGGAUGAGGUGGGUGAAGCAACGUUGUUGGGACCAGAGUUGGUACGUAUGACUACGGAAAAGAUUCAAACGAUCCGGCAACGUAUAAAAACCUCACAAGAUCGACAAAAGAGUUAUGAUGAUCUUCAUCGAAAGGACGUGGAAUUCAAUAUUGGAGAUCAUGUGUUGUUACGUGUUGCUCCAUGGAAAGGAGUUACGAGAUUUGGAAAGAGAGGAAAGCUCAAUCCUCGAUUCAUUGGCCCAUUUUUAAUCCUCGAUCGAGUAGGAACUGUGGCCUAUACACUCGCCUUACUACCAAGUAUGUCUCAUGUUCAUAACGUUUUUCACAUAUCUAUGUUACAUAAAUAUAUGAAAGACCCGAACCACAUUAUUGAAUUAGAACUGGACGAGAUAGCGAAAGAUUUAAUGUAUGAAGAUGUUCCUGUUAAAAUCUUGGAUAAGAAGGAACAUAGUCUACGCUCCAAGGUUAUACCUCAAGUCAAAGUUUUGUGGAGAAACCACGAUGUUGAGGAAAUGACCUGGGAGUUAAAAUCUAAAAUGAGAUCAAGGUAUCCUCACCUCUUCGUCAUACUAGGUAUGUACCCUAAUUUCGAGGGCGAAAUUUCAUAAGAAGGAGAGGUUGUAAGACCCCAACUUUUAUGAAUAAAGAUGAAUUUUCUAUAAAUAUCAUUUUUGAAUAUUAAGGAGUGAAUUUGAUAUAAUGUUAUAGUUGUGGGUAAUAUUUAUAAAUUUUGCAAUGUACGCAAGUUGUUAUAUUAUAUUCGAUUGGUCGGGAAAUAUUCGUUUUAACAGGAAAUAUUCGUACGAUGCCACAAUCAUUGGUAGACCCCACAACGGAAGUAUUAUCGUAGUUACAAAAUGACAGAAUUAUCUUUUUAUUAAAAUAACGGCGAAAGUUUUAUCGUUAAACUGUUGAACUACCCGGUGGUAAAAGAACAGUAAUACGCGUGGUUGCAUAGUAGCACACGGUAUUGAUUAUUGAUGCUUACGUGAGAAGUCACUUAGUUAUACUCAAUUAUUGCUACAGUAAUUGCUGCAUAAUAUCUCUUAUUAUUAAUUCAAUUAUUGUCACAGUAUCAUCUGCAUAAUAUUUAUUAUUAUUAAAUCACUAAUUGAGACGACAAAGUUAUUCAUAUUAUUAUUUUCAAUUUUGACAAUGUCUAGAAAGUUCUGUCAAGGAGAGGUUUGGUCACGUAAUUGUGCGCCAAUAGGGAGAAAUCCUUAUCGAAAAGCCCCCUCUUUCCUGGGAAUGAUCUGGUUGUUAAAUAUUGUGAGUUAUAAUAUUAAUAAUGAAUAAGUUCGUAUUGAUUAAAGAUGAAAUUGAUAUUUUCAUUGUGUUGGGAUUAUUAGUGUUAAUGGAAAUCGACAUCUAUUUCGAUAAUAAUUGAUGUCUGGAGGUUAUAUUUCGAUAAUAAUUCACAUGUUUAUAACUGGUUGUCCAUGUGUGUACUAUUGAUUCACAUGCAUGUACUAUUAGGGGAGGUGGUGCAAGAUUGAUAAUACUUGCAUGACUAAAUUAAAAAUGAAGGUAUAGAUGAAGGUACUAUACUGUAAUUAUUUUUUUCACAUGUAUAGAACUAUUGAUUCACAUGAAUGUACUAUUGAUUCACAUGACAUACUAUUAGGGGAUGUGGUGUAAGUUUGAUAAUACUUACAGGACUAAAUUAAAAAUAAAGGAAAAGAUGAAGGUAUUAUACUGUAAUAUUUUGAGCCCCAAAACGUGCAAUUAUAGAAACUAUAUUUUUCUAUAAAUAGAAGCUCAUUCUUCUUUCAUUCUAACGAAUUCACUAAGACUCACAAGAGCAAUUAUAGAGAGAGAAGCUAUAGAGAGAGAAGCUUUAGAGAGAAAGUUGAAGAGAAGUCUGCUACCUCACUAUUCCAGUAUCCAGUAUUUUUCUGAGGUAAGGGAUAUUAUUUUGUUCAGUAUUCAUAGGAAUAAUAUUUUCUUCCAUACUCUGUAGUAUGUGAGUAAUAUUAUUUUGUCUCGUAUUCCUGAUUAUACCCUCAUUUUGUUAAAGUAUUUCUUCUAUACUCUGUGAAAUUAGUAAAUAUCUUUGAAAUUUGCGCUUCAUCUAGUGUCGUUUCACAUGGAUAUUUUAUGCACAUUCGGGUUAAAUUUUAAGCUUUUCAUGUCGGAGUGCUGUCCAUGAAUAGUAUUCAUUUUUACGAUAUUAUUCACAAAGUACUAUUCACGGGGUACUAUUCACAAAGUACUAUUUAUGGGUACUAUUCACAAAGUACUAUUUACGAGUACUAUUUACAAAGUACUAUUCACAGGAUACUAUUCCUGAAGUACUAUUCAUGGGGUACUAUUCACUCGGGUACUAUUCACCCGGGGAAUUAUUCAUGACAAAAUUGAUUUCUUUGUUGUCCAAAUCAUUUUUGAUACAAUAUUAUUCUUGAAUUUUACUCCACAAAAGCAGUAUCAUGUUGAUAAUUUGGACAUUAUUGAAUUCUGGAUUAAUUAAAUUAUAAAUCUUUAAAAAUUUAUCCUUUUCAUUCUUUUAAUUUAAUUCUUAUAUCAUUGUCAUUAUCCUCAUGUUUAUAUUGUGAUAAAAGUCAUCCGUGGCUUGCGUGCAUAGAUGUACUAUUGAUUGGUAUGAUUAUGACUAGGAAUUAUUCGGUAUAAUCAUGAUCGUAACGUUACAAAUGAUGUGGUAAAAAUCUUCAUUGGCCUGUAGUGCAUUGAUGGACAGUUGUUGGUAUGAUUAUGACCAUGGAUUAUUCGGUAUAAUCAUGACCAUUGAUGAUUACAUGAAUAUCCUUGGCCCGUAGUGCAGGGAUGAUUCAGUGAUGUGGUUUAUUUAUUAAGCUGAGUCUCAGCGAUAAUAUUGAUGAUAAACUUUUUAAAUCAUAGAAGAUAGUAGAUAUCAUGCUCUACUUGACUCUUCUAAUGGAUUGCUUGUUCCGCUGUAGUUAAACUUGAUGUUUAUUAUAUUUUAUCAGUUUAACACUGUUGAAGGCUAACGAUAAUUUAUUCUACAUUAUCUUAGUUAUAAUAUUUCUUACUAGGCUAGUUGAGCUCACCAUUUGUUUUCAUUGUUCUCUUCAGGAAAUGAGAAUAUAGCUGGGACUAAUCGGGGAACGGAGUGACGGUCCAGAUGUUUGCAUUAGUAGUCCUCACUAUUCAGUGAAAUAGUGUGAUAAUAAAUGUAAUAAGGACUCCAUUUGAGUUUGAAUACUGUCUAAAAGACAAUAUUCGUAUUAAAACUCUCAGCUUAUGUUUUGUCGUAUUUUACAUGACAGUUGUAUAAUUAAGUUGUAUUUGAAUUUUGUACCAUGUAUUUGGCGACUCAAGAUGGGUGAUGUAUACCUAUUUUGGGGGCAUCACAAAUGUGUUCCCACUUCCAUUUUCAUAAUCUCAAGUGGUUGCAAUGGACCCUUUGGCAUUUGAUGCUCCGCCUUUACACGGUUACAAGUUAAACACCUUGAGAUAAACUCCGCGAUCUCUCUCUUUAUAUUGUUCUACCAAAAUGUAUGUCGAAGAUCAUGAUACAUUUUGUUACUACCAGGAUGGAAUGAAAACGGUAUGUUGUGUGCCUCCAUCAUGCUUCUAUGUUUCAAGUCAGAAUCGUUAGGAACACAAAGUCUAGAGUUGACUCAAAGUAUUCCUUCUUCAUUGAUUAUUGCUUCUGGAAUAACACCUUCUUGCACUUUCUUCUUUAUACGCAGGUCUGUAGCUUGAGCAGCUUUAACUUUAUCGAUUAAAGUCGGUUCUACUCGUAUGCUUGAUAUUGUCACGUGGGUACUUGGAGCCUUUACCUCUAUCUCCAUCCUUUGCAAGUCAUAUAAAAUGGGCCUUUGUGUUAACAACAUUGCACUCGUACCAGCAUAUGAUUUUCUACUCAAUGCGUCAGCUACCACGUUUGCUUUUUUCCAGGAUGAUAUUAGAUGGUAUGAUCGUAAUCUUUCAACAGCUCGAGCCAACGUCGUUGCCGCAUGUUGAGUUCCUUUUGGGUGAAGAAAUAUUUGAGGCUUUUAAGAUAUGUAUAGAUUUCCACUUUCUCCCCAUACAGGUAGUGUCUCCAGAUCUUCAACGCGAAAACGACUGCUGCCAACUCUAAAUCAUGGGUAGGAUAAUUCCUCUCAUAUUCUUUGAGUUGUCGCGAGGCAUAGGUUAUGACUUUCCCAUGUUGCAUGAGAACACAUCCUAACCCUUUGCCCGAAGCAUCGCUAAAGAUAACAAAUCCAUCCGAACUAGAUGGUAUUGUCAGAACAGGUGCCGAAAUGAGUCUCCUCUUGAGUUCUUGAAAACUCUUCUCACAAUCCUCGCUCCAACUGAAUUUUGUAUCUUUACGAGUCAGCUGAGUUAACAAAGUAGCGAUUCGAGAAAAUCCUUCCACGAAUCUCCGAUAGUAACCAGCUAAGCCCAAAAAGCUACGUACUUCGGUCACCGACUUCGGUUGGUCCCAACUUUGUAUUGCUUUAAUCUUUGACUGGUCAACAGAUACUCCAUGUUUUGACACCACGUGCCCAAGGAAUGCUAUUUCCUCAAGCCAGAACUCACAUUUCUUCAGCUUGGCAUAUAGCUUGUUAUCACGAAGCCUUUGCAGUACCAGCUUCAAAUGGUGCCCAUGUCAUCAAUAAAGACGACAACGAAUUGAUCCAAAUAUUCUUUGAACACACGGUUCAUCAUAUCCAUGAAAGCAGAAGGAAUUAGUUAAUCCAAAAGACAUGACUAAGAAUUCAUAAUGCCCGUACCGAGUUCUGAAGGAAGUCUUUGGAAUAUCCUCAAUUUUAAUCUUCAGCUGAUGAUAUCCAGAACGAAGAUCGACCUUUGAAAAAAAAUUGUGCUCCUUGCAACUGGUCGAACAAGUCAUCAAUGCGAGGUAGCGGAUACCUAUUCUUGAUGGUGACAUGAUUCAAUUCCCGGUAGUCAAUACAAAGUCGCAUACUCCCAUCUUUCUUCUUUACAAAUAAAACAGGAGCACCCCAAGGAGAUGUACUAGGACGAAUGAAACCGAUGUCCAACAACUCCUGAAGUUGGACCUUUAACUCCUGAAGUUCAAUAGGAGCCAUUCGAUAUGGGGUUUUAGAAAUGGGCUUUGUACCAGGUUCAAGGUCAAUAAAGAAUUCAACUUCACGUUCUGGGGGUAGACCGGGAAGUUCUUUAGGAAAUACAUCAAGAAAUUCACUAACAAUAGAAAUAUUAUUCAAAUAUUAUGUGUUUUUGUUCAAGUUCGUGACAUGGGCUAAGAAAGCUUGACAUCCGUUUUUUAAUAAACGAAUGGCUUUAUGGCUUGAUAUGACAGUUAUUGACUUUAGAGGUUUGGUUUCUUGAAUUCGCAUAACAGGUUGGUUAGGAAUAUGAAAACUAACAACCUUACGAAAAUAAUCAAUUUUAGCAUGAUGAGUGGUUAACCAAUAAAUCCCUAAUAUAACAUCAAAUGCAAGUAUUUUCAACGAAAUAAGAUCGACAGGUAAUGUGAUGGUACCAACUUGAAUCAAGCAAGAUUUAUACACAGCAGAUGUAAUGAAAGUUUCUCCUAAAGGAGUCUCAACAGAUAAGUCAAAGUCUAAUUUCUCCGGAGUCAAGAAGUUCAAACAUUGAGCACAAGCAGAAGAGAUAAAAGAAUGGAUAGAACUAGUAUCUAAUAAGGUAUAAACUUCGCAAGAGUUUAUGAUUAGCUUACCCGUGAUCACCUCGUUUGGGUUCCUCGCAUUUUGGGCAGUCACAACAAACGCCAUUCCAGGAACCACCGACUUUGACUUGUCCGGGACAGCCUUUAGAGUCACCAUCCCCGGCUAAAUUGGUUUUGCAAUAAGACAAUCUCUAGCUAUAUGACAUUCCUUUCCACAGUUAUAACACACCUUAGAUUGUUGUGGGCAGUUUGGGCUGAUGUGUCCCUCUUUCCCGCAUUUAUAACAAACUACCGAUGCUCGUUCUCCUCCCCUAGAAACAAUUGAUAUUUGUGCUGACGUCUUCAUGUUAUCAAUGUUGUACCUUCUCUUUUUGAAAUCUUCUCCCGACUCGCUUAUUCUACCAUCAUGGCCACGAUUACCACCAGAGUGGUUACCACUUUUGUCCGAAUGUUUUCCUCCCCGCUGGUUGUUAUUGCUCUGAUGAUCGCUGCCACCGGUAUGACCCUGGUUGUGAUCCAUUGGUUGAACAUACUCAUUAUCUCGCUCUAAUAAUUGAGCCAUGUUUACAACAUCUGAAUAUAAAGAAAAUUUAUGAGAGAUAAGAUAUUGCCGAAUCUCAAGUUUUAGACCUCUCAGAAACAUCCUCAUCAGUCGUUCCUCAUUCUCUACCAAAUGAGGUGCAAACCUGGAUAACUCUGCGAACUUCGCCUCGUACUGGGACACCGUCAUGUUGUUUUGUUCCAAUCUAAUAAACUCUACCUCCUUCAUAUGACGAAUACUUUUAGGAAAGUACUUGUCAUUGAAUAGUUUCUGAAAUGUUUCCUAAGACCUGUUGAGUGCGGCUGGCUGGGUACGCUUCACAGACUCCCACCAGUAGUCUGCCUCACCACGGAACAUAAAGGUGGCGAAUGGAACCUUAUGUUCCUCUGUGCAUCCCAAGACAUCAGAUAUCUUGGUAAUUUGUUUAACCCACGUUUUUUCCUUGAUCGGAUCCGGCUUUCCCGCAAAUUCUGGUGGUCCCAAUUCUUUGAACUGUUUGGCUGUGACAAGUCGCGCAUUACUAUCAUUUCAACCCGUAUUUUGUACACGAGUCUCCCUCGUCUGAUUUUGCAUGAACUGAAAAAAGCUUCUAAACAUCCCAUCAUUCAUCAUUUAUUCGUUAGUGUUGUUUAUAGGAGGAAUAUUGCCUUGCUGUUGCACGUUCCCCUGGGUGGUGAUAAAAGGUGUUUCCAUGGUCUCAUUCAAUCCAUUGUUAAUAUUUUCAGCUGCCCUUUUCAAAUACUGCCACAAAACAAGGGUUACUUAACAAAUUAACAUAUCACAUAUUAACCAUAUGCUCCGACUGACCAACCAAAUAAGCUUAGGUAUAACACACUAGCGAAUGAUUACUCGUCUCUUCCCUCCUAGUUCUAUUCCCCAAUCACCGCCAGAGACCAUAUCCCUAAGCCCUGAUAACAACUGUGACGCCCCCAAAAUAAGUAUACAUCACCCAUUCUGAGUCGCCAAAUACAUGGUACAAAAACAAAUACAAGUUCAGUAAUACAAUUGUCGUGCAAAAUACGAUAACACAUAUACUAUGAGUUUAAAUAUUGUCUAACAGACAGUAUACAAACUCAAAAGGAGUCCUCCUUAUAAUUAUUGAUACACUAUUUUACAAAAUAAUGAGGACUAUUAAAACAACCAUCCUGAACCAUCACUCUAUACCCCCGCUAGUUCCUGCUAUGUUCUCACCUCCUGAGAAGGAAAAAAUGGAACAAAAAGGAAAAGGGUGAGCUCAACUAGCCCAGUAAGAAUAUUAUAACUAAGAUAGUAUACACAAAAUUAUCAUUAGUCUUCAACAGGGAAAAAUCUGAUAGAAUAUAAUAGACAACAAGUUUUAGAUUAACAACUGCAGCGGAAAUAACAAUCCAUUAGAAGAGUAAAGUAGAUAAUGAAUUCUACUAUCUUCUAAGAUUUAAAAGUCCAUCAUCAAUAUUUUAUCCCUGUAACAUCAAUCAAUAUACAUCUUGAAUCAAAUAUUCAUCUUUGUACUACAUGUCAAAGAUAUUCAUUUGUAUCACCAGUUGGUCAUGUUCAUCUCAACACCUGUUCAUCUUUGCACUACGGGCCAAAGAUAUUCAUCAGUUAAUCAUUCAUCUUUGCACUACAGGUCAAAGAUAUUCAGUAAUAUCAUCAUUUAGGACUAGGGAUGAUAAAAAAUAUCUUAAAAAAACGAAUCCAGUGAGAUAAAAGAUCAAAGAUUAGGGAUUCGUACUUUAGUUUAUCCAAGUUCAAAAAAAUUAUAAUAAUCAAUUGUGGAGCAAAAUUCAAGAAUGAAGAUCAAAACAUGGAUAUAAUCAAAUAUAGUAACCAUAAUAAACAACUUAGACAAAGUAAAGAAAAUUUCAUUUUUCUGUGAAUAGUGUCAUAUUCGUGAAUAGAGCCAUGUACGUGAAUAGUGUCGUAUACGUGAAUAGUAACCCCAACACAAAAAUGUAGAAAUUCCACAAGAAAACUCAUACUUCGUGAAUAGUACUGUAUUCGUGAAUAGUGUCGUAUAUGUGAAUAGUGUCGUAUACGUGAAUAGUAAUCUCGACAUGAAAAGGUAAAAUUUUUAUAAUAAAAUUCAUACCAAUAUUUAUGUAUAAUGAUAUUGAAAGAAUAACAUCAUUUACGAAGAAAAUAACAUCCCUUACCUCAAAAUAAUAGUACUUCUGAUCGGAAUAUCAGAUGUAAAGCCGAAUGAAACUUGCACUGAAUAGUAACUCUCAAAGUAUCUAAAUACUCACAAAAUACGCUCGAUAAUAUAGAGAGAAAAAGCUUAUGAUUCUGGUGUGAUUUUCAAUUCUAACUAAGCACCCUAUUUAUAGGAAAAUACUUAGAACGCCAUAGCAGACUAACCUGCUACCUGAUGGUUUUACCUGCUACUAUUCACGCCCACCAUUUUUGAAAUAAAAUUUCAGCAUAUUUUUUCACUAACCAAAAGUAUGGCCCACCCAUGUUUUUAAUAAAAAAUAUUUAUUUCUGAAACUUCAAUAAUUCAUAAUAAAUAGCCCUUUUAUCAGAAAAAUACGAAUUUUAUGUCCAUUCCAUAGGAAAUUAAAUUCUCUACAACUUUGUAGAAGAAAGUUUUUCCAAAUUCCAAACAAAAAAUGCUCGAAAUUCACAUUCGGACGAUUUUUAAUACCUUCAUUCUGACAAAAUACUGAUAAAAUACCUCAGCAUUAAUUCCAUCAUUUAUAUUCACACAAAAUAAAUAUAUCCAUCAUUUAUAUCCACAUAAAAUAAAUAUUUCCUUAUCCUAUGAAUCAAUAAUUAAUUAUUCAUAAAUAAUAUUACAGAAUCACAAUUAUGAUAACCAGGUCGUUCCCAGGAAAGAGGGGGCUUUUCGAUAAGGAUUUCUCCUUAUUGGCGCGCAAUUAGGUGACCAAACCCCUUUUCUAGACAGAACUUCCUUAGACAUUGCCAAUAAUGCUAUCUAAUAAUAUUAUUCAAAUAAUAUGAAUUAUUGAUCUGAUAAUGGGAAAUACUGUGCAAUAACAAUUAUUGAAACAACAAUAAUAUAACAUAUCAACGUAGCAAUUAUUGAAUCAACAAAAUAAAAUAUUGAACAGUAAUUACUGUAACAAUUAUUGAGUAGUGCCUUCUUACGUAAGAAUCAAUAAUUCAAAAUAGUGUGCAAUACCGUGUGCUACUGUGCAACCACGCGUAUUACUGUAUUUUAACCCCAGGUAUUUCAACAGUGUUAAUGGUAAUAAUAACGACGUUAUUUAUAAAAUCUCAUACUUGUCGUUUUCUUUAUCCGACCGUUUUCCGUUAUGGGGCCCACAAAUGGUUGCGCUGUCAUACGAAUAUUCCCCGACAACAAUGAAUAUUUUAUAACCACUUGCUUAAUUUACAAAAUUUGCACAUUUCACCCAUAACCAAAGUAUUAUAUCAAAUUAACACCUUGUUAUUCACAAUAAAAUUAGAGAAAAUUCGAUUUUAUUUAUAUAAAAUUGGGGUCUUACAAUUAAUUAUUAUUAUUAGUACUAUUAUAAUAAUAAUAAUUAUUAUUGUUAUUAUAAUUAUAAUUAUUAUUGUUAUUAUUAUUAUUAUAAUUAAUAUAAUUAUUAUUAUUAUUAUUAUUAUUAUUAUUAUUAUUAUUAUUAUUAUUUUAAUUAUUACUAUUAUUAUCAUUAUUAUUAUUAUUAUUAUUAUUACUAUUAUAAUAAUAAUAAUUAUUAUUAUUAUUAUAGUAGUAAUUAUUAUUAUUAUGAUUACUAUUAUAAUUAUAAUAAUUAUUAUUGUUAUUAUUAUUUUUAUUUUUACUAUACUAUUAUUAUAAUAAUAAUAAUAAUUAUCAUUAUAGUUAUUAUUAUCAUUAUUGUUAUUUGAUUUGGGAGAGAAUUUUUAGAGGUGAAUUUGAUUUGGGCGAGAAUUUUUAGUGUGAGAUGAAAUGUGAGCUUUUAGAUUAAGUUGGAAGAAUUGAGAUGAAAUUUGAACCGUCCUUGUGCUUUGUCAAAUGAAAGAUUCAAAAUGGGUUCUGUUUUAUUAUAUAGAUAUACAUAAAAAAAAUCAGUGGGAUCAAAUUACUAAAUUUGACCCAAAAAACUAUUACAUCAUAUAUAUAUAUAUAUAUAUAUAUAUAUAUAUAUAUAUAUAUAUAUAUAUAUAUAUAUAUAUAUAUAUANNNNNNNNNNNNNNNNNNNNNNNNNNNNNNNNNNNNNNNNNNNNNNNNNNNNNNNNNNNNNNNNNNNNNNNNNNNNNNNNNNNNNNNNNNNNNNNNNNNNCUCGAUUUAUUAUUUUGAAAUAGUAAGGGUUGAUUUGAUUAAUGUAGUUAAGUUAUAGGUAAAAUGCGCAAAUAUCUUAAAUAAGCAAGUGGUUAUAAAAUAUUCAUUGUAGUCGGAAAAUAUUCGUUUGGUCGUGGAAUAUUCUUACUGUCGGGGAAUAUUCGUACGACGGCGCAGUCUUUUGUGGGCCCCAUAACGAAAAGCGAUUGGAUGAAGAAAACGACAAAUAUAAGUUGUUUAUAAAUAAUGGCGUAGUUGUUACCGUUAAUAUUUUUGGAAUACUAGUGGUUAAAACACAGUAGCACACGGUAUUACACCAAUUAUUGAUUCUUACGUACGUAAGAAGGCACUACUCAAUAAUUGUUACAGUAAUUACUGUUCAAUAUUUUAUUUUAUUGAUUCAAUAAUUGCUACGUUGAUAUUUUAUAUUAUUGUUGUUUCAAUAAUUGUCACUGCACAGUAUUUUCAUUAUCAGAUCAAUUAUUCAUAUUAUUCGAAUAAUAUUAUUAGAUAACAUUAUUCGCAAUGUUUAGAAAGUUUUGUCUAAGGAGAGGUUUGGUCACCUAAUUGCGCGCCAGUAAGAAGAAAUCCUUAUCGGACAGCUCCCUCUUUCCUGGGAACGGCCUGGUUGUCAUAAUUGUGAUUCUGUAAUAUUAUUUGUGAAUAAUUAAUUAUUGAUUUAUAUGAUGAGAAAAUAUUUAUUUUAUGUGGAUAUAAAUGAUGGAUAUAUUUUAUGUGGACAUAAAUGAAGGAAUUAAUGCUGAGGUAUUUUAUCAGUAUUUUGUAGGAAUGGAGGUUUUGAAAAUCGUCCGUAUGUGGAUUUCGGUUGAUGAGUAGGUUUCAUACCUAUGAAUCUGAUAUUAUUAAACUUAAUUAUUGCUAUUUUUAAUUGUUUUUAGUAUCUUUUUAUGUGUUUUGUGUUUAUUUCUUAUAGGUUGGAGCUGGAGGGACAAAUUGGUCAUUUGGGAGAAGAAAAAGGUCAAAAUUCAUUAAAAUUAGAGUUGAGUGGCAUUUUUUUAAUUAUGCGGUCCUGGUCAAACGCCUAGUCGCUUGGAAAUGGCCUGGGUUGAGCGCCUAGGCGCUCAUGUACGGCUAAAGAAGGAUUUUUCUACUCUUAACUGGGUUUUUGAAGCCAAGUAGGAAUCUAAAAGAUAGUGGGGACUAAUACUAAUACAAGAAGACUUUAGAAAAGAUGUAUCACUGAAUUUUUCAAGAGAUUUUGGCAGAGAGGACAACGAAGAAAAACAAGAAGGAGAAUUGCAAGGGUUGAAGAUCAAAGAGAGAGUUUUGGAGCAAAUUCAGAGUUUCUUCUUCUCUUCUUUAGUUUUAUCUUUUAUAAUUAUCUCGGAUGUUUGGAUUAUUAAUCUAGAUGAUGUUUUUCUUUAUUAUUAUCAUGAACUAAAUUUUAAUUAAGAUUGCAACGGAACUUGGUAUGUAGUUUAAAUUGAACCUUCCUAUUGAAUGAAAGUUGGUUUUUAUUGAAUUAUUUAUUAUAUCUUUUGCUUAUUGAUUAAUUGUUUGGCCAAUAAUUACUGUGAUAAUCUAUAUAAAAUUAGAAGAUGGAGUAUAGAUUGAGAUCUGGAUAUGAUAACAUCUAUUCAUAUAAUCUGAAUAGGGUUAAUAUGAUUAACAUAUAGGAUAGAAAUAUACCUAUGUGUCUUUUGUAUCCAUUGAACGAAUUUGUGCAUAAAACCCUAAUUAACUUGAUUCUCAUAGGAAUAUAGUGAAUUAAUUGACUAGGGUGUUCCUUGUAAUUUUGUGUCUUAAGGAUCGGAGUUAGGAGGAUUUGUUCACGUGUUUUGGAAAAAGUACGUGAAUUUUAUAAAGCAUUCUUGGAUAAUGAUUCAUAUUAAUUAAUUGAUUUGAAUGGGAAGUGAAUUGGUUGAAAUGAAAUACCAAGGGAAGUUGUAAUCUUAACAUGUUAAAUCUGCAGUUAUUCUUGUGAAAUUCUGAUUUUAAUUAUUAGUUUUGUUAAGUAUAAUUUUCAAAUUACAAACAAUAUUUCGUAGUUUGAAAUAGGAUUAAUUGCAUUAGAAUUAGUACUUGAUAAAUAUUAGUCUAUUUCCUCAUGGGAACGAUAUCCUUGCUUGCUGAAUAUUACAAUUGAAUGCGUAUACUUGCGUGGUAAAGUGCUAUUAAAAAAUUAGGCAACAAGUUUUUGGCAUCGUUGCCGGAGAAAUUAGUUUAAUAUUUUGUCAUUAUUGAUUUUUAUAGCGUUAAUGUGACGCCCCCAAAUCCGAGUACUUGCUCCUCCUGACUUGCUUUUGUUCUUCUUCUCCUUGUGGUAGAGGCUCAUGGCCUCACUCCCCUGUUCAGCUAUGAUAGCCUUUUCCAUGAGUGCUGCAAAAGUAUUGAUUUGCAGUACUGACACCUUAUUGUAGAGCCAAGGUUUUAAGCCCAGUUCAAAUCUCCUUGCCUUCCUAGCCUCUGUAUCCACUUGAUGUGGAGCAAACCUAGCCAACUCAUUAAACUUUGUGGCAUACUCUGCAACAGUCAUGUUAUCUUGCUUUAACUCCAGGAAUUUCACUUCCAUUCUAGACUGCAUACUUACUGAGAGAUAGUUUUUGAAAAAUAAAUUCUUAAACAUAUCCCAAGUAAUCACUUCUUCUCCUGCCCGAGUCUUAUUUGCCUCCCACCAAAAGUUAGCCUCCCCUUUCAUCAUAUAAGUGGCAAAAGCGGUCUUUUGCCCCUCAUCUACCCUAGCAAUUACGAACGCCUUUUUUUAUUUCGUUAACCCAUGUCUGGGCUUCUACAGGGUCAGCUGAUCCUCUGAAUUCUGGUGGUCCUACUACUUUGAAGUCUUUGAAUUUUGCCAAGCGAUUGUCUGGCUGGUUUCCUGCAACCGGUGUUCCCUGCUGCAUAGCCUGAGCUACCAUGUUUGCAAAGUUUUGCAUCAGUUCUGGCUGUCGUUCCCCAGUAUUAGCAGAUUCUUCUACCCUUUGGCUUUGAGUUUGACGUCUUAGCGGCAUUAUCUGGUUAAAUAAAACCAUAAAUUAUACUCUAUUAACUUACAUUCUAAACCUUAUUGCACAAGAUUAAUAUAUUAAACUUGUUUCAUUUCUCAAUCUUGGAUUCAUAUUCAUUUAUCGAAUAUUUAUAUAGCACAUACUGCUUUAAUCAACAGCUAUCCCUUUGUGACUACGAAAGUCGGGAUUUAAAAUCUUGACCAAAAUAAAAGUUGAAAAUAGUUCAUUACUUAUCACACACAUUACAUAAACACAACAUAACCCAUACCACUUAUUUAACAAGCCUUUUUCUCGGACAUUCAUUCGAUCGAUGUCCUUCCAUCCCACAAUUAAAACAUCCACCUUUCUUAUAGUCGGGGCAAUGAGGAGAUGUAUGUCCCUCACGGCCGCAAAUAUAACAUAUCUUCUUCCCUAUCUUCUUAUCAGGUUUUCCUAAGUCAGGAUCUUCUACCUUUCUUUUUUCCUUACCUCUCGGCUGCACACGAUGUGUUGCUUGAGGCUCCCAUCUGGUCAAUUUGGAUUUUGAGCUUAUCACGCUCUUCCAUUGUUUCUAGCAACGCUUGACGCAGCUGAAUAUUAAGCAACGUCUCUAUCUCCCACAGCCUUUCCAGCGUAGAAACCUUGUUCUCCAGAUCUUGCACCUCCGUUGAUGCUUGAGCAGCUUCAACUUUAGUGUCUGAAUCACUAUCUGUCAAAUCCACCAUUUCUGGAUCUGAUGCUACGUUUUCCACUAUAGCCACCUCGUCUGAUUUGGGUUCCUGGUGAGCUUCUAUUUCAGCUGUUGGCCUUGAUAUUAGCUCGGGGGUAUAGAUCUGAUCCUUCUUAUUCCACAUAUCUUUCUCACCAGACAUCAACAUACAUAAGUUACCCUGAUUAGCAUAUAGUAUAUAUACAUAGCAAUCAAGAGUUCUAUA